Molecule: long non-coding RNA, 1682 nt
Filed under: Homo sapiens (human)
Lineage: Eukaryota; Metazoa; Chordata; Mammalia; Primates; Hominidae
Description: HSALNT0405295
Source: RNAcentral
AGCGGAUGUCCUGCUGGCUGCCAGGGCAGCGUGGGACGCUACGGCGGAUAUGGCUGCAGAGCGGCCGGCUGGGAUCUUAGAUAGGAGGGGUGGAUUUGCAAGGCCUAGAAUAGCUGGGGAGUGGUUUCCCCGCGGAAUCGGCCUCCCUGCCGCUCCUGCUUUGUACUGUGACGCUCAGCCUGUGAUGACUGGUGUGGAAUCCGCUGAGCCACCUUGGCCUAAGGAGACUUUACCACUCUGAGAUUGUAAAUCUGUAAAAUAGAGAUGUAGGAUUAGCCCAUACGGUAGUUGUGGUAAAUACUGUGAGACAAUAAGGGGCCUGGGACACAGCAUUCAAAUGGGAAUAAUGAAGGUCAAGACUGUGAUUCCUGUAUCUUUGACGCUCUCGGUAUAAGCACCGUCGUGGGCACAGGGCAGUGGCCUUUAUGCAGGAGUUUAAGAGGGAAUGAAGGAAUGAAUGGGCAAACUCUGGAGUUCCCAAGUAUUCUCUCCAGGAGCUGUUUCCAUUCUUUUCGUUUCCAGCAGAUUCAAGAGGCAAUUGUUGGAAUGUAAAAAGAGCACGGGACUUGGAGUCAAAUACUUAAGUCUACCAUCAAGUAGUUGUUAAGAAUUAAACAACAAUUUUUGUGUACCCAGUUAAAUGUGGGCUGCUUAGGAAUGAUGACUGUGUCUUAAUGAUCUCUGUAUUCUUAGUGACAUGUAGAAUCAUUGUGCCUGACACAUAGUAUGUACUCAGGAAAGAAAUGGAAAAUGUGGUUUUAGCAUUGAAGGCCGGGAGAGAGGGUCUAACAGACUACAAGCCCUGCCAGGAGCAGAGUAAGGGAAACAGAGGAGAAAAGUGUUUUUAGUCUGUGCCUGAAUGUAUUUACAUCUGUUUGUAGCCCAAAAGCCAAAAGCAUACAUACGCUUGGCUUUUCUGUAGCUAUGUUUAUGGCUUUACAGCAGAUUUUAUGGAGCUGCAAUUACUUUGAUCAUGAGGGACUGAUGCUAGUGGAUUUACUUCACCAAAUGGAACUCACUUUGUGGCUUCUGAAGAAGGGACCUUUGUGGACUGUCAUGGAGUAGUUAAGAGUGCAGGCUCUGAUUUAGUGAUCAGAGUCUGCAUUGUCAGGAAUGGGACAAAGUGAAGUUAUGUGGCACUUGAUAGGAUGCCCUGAGAAGAUUGCAACAUCACCCCUGUGAUAUUCCUGCUGAAGAUCCAUAACCUGGAUGUAAUCAUGAGGAUAUAUCAGACAAACCCACGUAAAGAGACAUGCUGUAUACAAAACUGUAAUCUUAGAAAGUGCCAAGGUCAUGAAAAUCAAAGAUAGACCCUGGAACUGUUCCAAACUGGAGGGGACCAAAGAGGCAUGACAACUAAACACAACACAUGAUUCUGAACUGGAUCUUUUUGCUUGAAAGGAAGUUACAGGGACAGUUGGAAAAGUUUAAAUGGGGCCUACAAUGCCGUGGUAAUGAUGUGUCCGUGUUAAUUUCCUGAUUUUCAUGGUUGCCUGUUAAGUUACAUCAGAGGAUGUUCUUGUUUGCUGGAAAGUAAAUCAAUGUAUUUGGCAGGGGAUAAGGCAUCAAAUGGUCACCUUAAUUUCAAAUUAUUACAGGGAAAAUGUUUCUCUCUGUACUUAAUAACUUUUUUGCAAUUUCUUAAAAUGAAAGCUCUGGAGUAAAAACUUCAAGGAUCCAAA